RNAcentral lists this ribosomal RNA (460 nucleotides) under uncultured bacterium. RNAcentral's name for it is "partial 16S ribosomal RNA". It matches the Rfam family "Bacterial small subunit ribosomal RNA", at positions 338 to 795 of the family's 1533-position model. The record is from RNAcentral.
CCUACGGGAGGCAGCAGUGAGGAAUAUUGGUCAAUGGGCGAGAGCCUGAACCAGCCAAGUCGCGUGAAGGAUGAAGGUUCUAUGGUUUGUAAACUUCUUUUAUAAAGGAAUACAGUGAGGCACGUAUGCCUUUUUGUAUGUACUUUAUGAAUAAGGAUCGGCUAACUCCGUGCCAGCCGCCGCGGUAAUACGGAGGGUCCGAGCGUUAUCCGGAUUUAUUGGGUUUAAAGGGAGCGUAGAUGGGUUGUUAAGUCAGUUGUGAAAGUUUGCGGCUCAACCGUAGAAGUGCACGUGAUACUGGCAGUCUUGAGUACAGUUGAGGUAGGCGGAAUUCGUGGUGUAGCGGUGAAAUGCUUAGAUAUCACGAAGAACCCCGAUUGCGAAGGCAGCUUACUAAACUGUGACUGACAUUGAUGCUCGAAAGUGUGGGUAUCAAACAGGAUUAGAUACCCGAGUAGUC